RNAcentral lists this transfer RNA (59 nucleotides) under Celaenorrhinus victor. RNAcentral's name for it is "tRNA-Cys". The record is from RNAcentral. Lineage: Eukaryota; Metazoa; Arthropoda; Insecta; Lepidoptera; Hesperiidae.
AGCUUUAUAUUCAAAAAUGAUUUAAAAGUGCAAAUUUUAAGGGGUAAUAUAAAAAUUAC